Molecule: unclassified non-coding RNA, 350 nt
Filed under: soil metagenome
Description: partial contains 5.8S ribosomal RNA, internal transcribed spacer 2, and large subunit ribosomal RNA
Rfam family: 5.8S ribosomal RNA (bases 1-120)
Source: RNAcentral
GAUGAAGAACGUAGCGAAAUGCGAUAAGUAAUGUGAAUUGCAGAAUUCAGUGAAUCAUCGAAUCUUUGAACGCACAUUGCGCCCGCCAGUAUUCUGGCGGGCAUGCCUGUUCGAGCGUCAUUUCAACCCUCAAGCCCAGCUUGGUGUUGGGGAUCGGCACAGGCGCCCUCGGGCGCCCGCCGUCCCCUAAAUCUAGUGGCGGUCUCGCUGCAGCCUCCUCUGCGUAGUAGUUUUCUCCUCGCAAGGGCAGCUCGGUGGCGACCUCGCCGUAAAACCCCCAACUACUGAAAGGUUGACCUCGAAUCUGGUAGGAAUACCCGCUGAACUUAAGCAUAUCAAUAAGCGGAGGA